UGGCUCAGUGGUAGAGUGCUUGCUUUGCAUGCAUGAGGCCUUGGGUUCAAUUCCUCA
Molecule: transfer RNA, 57 nt
Filed under: Dipodomys ordii (Ord's kangaroo rat)
Lineage: Eukaryota; Metazoa; Chordata; Mammalia; Rodentia; Heteromyidae
Rfam family: tRNA
About the family: Transfer RNA (tRNA) molecules are approximately 80 nucleotides in length. Their secondary structure includes four short double-helical elements and three loops (D, anti-codon, and T loops).
Source: Rfam by way of RNAcentral